Molecule: long non-coding RNA, 1169 nt
Organism: Haemorhous mexicanus (house finch)
Lineage: Eukaryota; Metazoa; Chordata; Aves; Passeriformes; Fringillidae
Exons: 3
Source: RefSeq, a predicted model, not a curated record
CCGUAGGGUCCGAUGGGGUGGCUAGGGCCGGGGCGGCGGGGGUGAGCAGGACCGUGGGUUCCGGAGCCGUGGGGUCCGACGGGGCCCUUCAAUACAUACCGUUUAUCCGCACACCAGCCAGUCCUUGUCUGUUUCCGCAGGAGGCAAGCCGAGACCAGCGGAGCCCCUCCAGGGAACAUCCCCGGGAUGCACCAAGGGGGUCCAUUUUCCCCUCUGCCCCUGCGAGGACAGAAAAUCUCCUGCCUGUCCUCACCGUAAUGAAUUGUGGAAAAGUGUUAUGAGUGAUGCAUUGUUCACAGGGGUCUUAGGAUGAGGGAAGAGAUGAGAAAGUUGACUCCAUGUUCAGAAGGCUUGGUUUAUUAUUUUAUGAUAUAUAUUAUGUUAAAAACUAUACUAAAAGAAUAGAAGAAAGGAUUUCAUCAGAAGGCUUAGCCAAGAAUAGAAAAGGAAUGAAUAACAAAGGCUUGUCUCUGACCGAGACAGUCUGGACACGUGGACUGUGAUUGGCCAUUAAUUAGAAACAACCAGAUGAGACCAAUCACAGAUCCACCUGUUGCAUUCCACAGCAGCAGAUAAGAAUUGUUUGCAUUUUGUUCUUGAGGCCUCUCAGCUUCUCAGGAGGGAAAAAUCCUAAGGAAAGGAUUUUUCAUAGAACAUGUCGGUGACAUGAGUAAAAAAAAGGGUUUACCCAUUUUUUUUAAAAGGUUGCAGAGUUACAAGUUGAGGUGGGAACUAGUUGCUGGCAGAGUUCUUUGUUAACUUCAUGUUGUAAUUACCUGUUAAGAGUAGUUCGUUAACUCUCUAUUGUUGAGAAUUCCCCUUUUUGUAUCAGUACCACCCUGCCUGCGGCCAGGUGGAUGGCCCUUCUUGGACAGUGCAAGGUGGGGACAUCGGAGGACAUGUAAAAUAACCUCAGACCCAGCAUGCCACGGCCACAGAAGACCUCAGCUGGAGCCAGUACUCUGGACGUCAAACCCGAAGAGUGGAACAAGGGGUAUAUCCCUACUGCUCUCGUGAGGACAGGACCCCCAGCUCUGCCUCCUAGUGGGCAAAGCUGCACUUUCCUCCUCCUCCAUGCCACUCCUGGGAGCGACGACGCAUGACCGCGGACCCAUCAGGCCUUCCCACCUGAGCUGAUCACUUGUAAUAAAGGCAUUAAAAAGGAGAAA